GGAUUUGGAUGUUUACGUAUUUCAAAAGAAUCGAUUUUUAAAAAAGAGGAGCCUUCAACUUUGUUCUUUGCUUUCGGACUUGCUGUGUCGGAGUCGGGCUGCUUAGUUAUUAGCUGGGAAAGUCGAGAGAAAAGGGGGGAGGCUGAGCCUAGGGAUGCGGCGGUCGGCGGCGGCUCAUCGCUGUUGUCCGUCCGGCGCACAGUAAGAGAGGAGGUGUAAGAGUGUGGGGGAUCUGGAGCUCUGCGGCGGCAGCCCUAUGGCUGUGCAGUCGCCGGACUUCAAGGAGAGGUAGAGAAAGGGCGGCGGUGGCUGAGUUCGGGAUCGUGGGCUCGGCGGCGGCGGCGGCUUCGUCGUCGUUCUGUUCGGAGCAGGGGAUAGGAGAG
RNAcentral lists this long non-coding RNA (383 nucleotides) under Salvia miltiorrhiza (redroot sage). RNAcentral describes it as "long non-coding RNA (SMIL_LNC006574)". The record is from RNAcentral. Lineage: Eukaryota; Viridiplantae; Streptophyta; Magnoliopsida; Lamiales; Lamiaceae.